UACGUAGGGUGCAAGCGUUGUCCGGAUUCAUUGGGCGUAAAGAGCUCGUAGGCGGUUUGUCGCGUCUGCUGUGAAAACUCGGGGCUUAACCCCGGGCCUGCAGUGGGUACGGGCAGACUAGAGUGCGGUAGGGGAGACUGGAAUUCCUGGUGUAGCGGUGAAAUGCGCAGAUAUCAGGAGGAACACCGGUGGCGAAGGCGGGUCUCUGGGCCGUAACUGACGCUGAGGAGCGAAAGCGUGGGGAGCGAACAGG
RNAcentral lists this ribosomal RNA (253 nucleotides) under uncultured bacterium. RNAcentral's name for it is "partial 16S ribosomal RNA". It matches the Rfam family "Bacterial small subunit ribosomal RNA", at positions 524 to 776 of the family's 1533-position model. The record is from RNAcentral.